UUAAAAAACCAAAUUACAAUUAUCUCAUCCGAUCUCACCUGAUCUUGGAAGCUAAGCAGGAUUCAGCCUGGUUAGUACUUGGAUGGGAGAAUUAUUUCAGCAAUAAAUCACUUUUAUAAG
Molecule: ribosomal RNA, 120 nt
Filed under: Fukomys damarensis (Damara mole-rat)
Lineage: Eukaryota; Metazoa; Chordata; Mammalia; Rodentia; Bathyergidae
Source: RNAcentral